CCUUGUACACACCGCCCGUCACGGCAUGGGAGUUGGUUUUACCCGAAGACGGCGCGCUAACCGCAAGGAGGCAGCCGGCCACGGUAGGAUCAGCAACUGGGCCG
This 104-nucleotide ribosomal RNA is filed under the name uncultured bacterium. RNAcentral describes it as "partial 16S ribosomal RNA". It matches the Rfam family "Bacterial small subunit ribosomal RNA", at positions 1379 to 1482 of the family's 1533-position model. The record is from RNAcentral.